GGCCAGCAUGAUGUAGUGGUUUGAAAUGUUGGAUUACAACUCUGGAGAUCAAGGUUCAAUUCCCUGCUUGGCCA
Molecule: non-coding RNA, 74 nt
Organism: Phrynosoma platyrhinos (Desert horned lizard)
Lineage: Eukaryota; Metazoa; Chordata; Lepidosauria; Squamata; Phrynosomatidae
Source: the annotation of a GenBank genome assembly